GAUAUCGCACAAUGGGGGAAACCCUGAUGCAGCGAUGCCGCGUGUAGGAAGACGGUCCUCUGGAUUGUAAACUACUGUCUUCAGGGACGAUAAUGACGGUACCUGAGGAGGAAGCUCCGGCUAACUACGUGCCAGCAGCCGCGGUAAUACGUAGGGAGCGAGCGUUGUCCGGAAUUACUGGGUGUAAAGGGAGCGUAGGCGGGGUUUUAAGUCCGUUGUGAAAUCUAUCGGCUCAACCGGUAGCUGCGGCGGAAACUGGGACUCUUGAGUGAAGUAGAGGCAGGCGGAAUUCCUAGUGUAGCGGUGAAAUGCGUAGAUAUUAGGAGGAACACCAGUGGCGAAGGCGGCCUGCUGGGCUUUUACUGACGCUGAGGCUCGAAAGUGUGGGGAGCAAACAGG
RNAcentral lists this ribosomal RNA (399 nucleotides) under uncultured bacterium. RNAcentral's name for it is "partial 16S ribosomal RNA". It matches the Rfam family "Bacterial small subunit ribosomal RNA", at positions 359 to 776 of the family's 1533-position model. The record is from RNAcentral.